UACAGAGGUGGCAAGCGUUGUUCGGAAUUACUGGGCGUAAAGGGCGCGUAGGCGGUUCGUUAAGUCCUGUGUGAAAUCCCCCGGCUUAACCUGGGAACUGCGUCUGAUACUGGAAGGCUUGAGUAUGGGAGAGGGAUGUAGAAUUCCAGGUGUAGCGGUGAAAUGCGUAGAUAUCUGGAGGAAUACCGGUGGCGAAGGCGGCAUCCUGGACCAUUACUGACGCUGAGGCGCGAAAGCUAGGGGAGCAAACGGG
Molecule: ribosomal RNA, 253 nt
Filed under: uncultured bacterium
Lineage: Bacteria
Description: partial 16S ribosomal RNA
Rfam family: Bacterial small subunit ribosomal RNA
Source: RNAcentral